GGAGUGUUUAGUAAAUGUCUUGGGAGGAUCAGGGGUCUUUCUUUCAGAAAACAACUUGUUUUAUUAUCAGAUCCAUUCUUCCUUAUUGAAAAAGCAUGGCUUCAAGAACUCGUCUGUGAUGCCUAAAGCCUUCGUCUCCCUCAUACGUACAAACACAACAAAUAAUCUUAUUUGUAUGCCGCUUUUACACAGCCCAAACCAUGCUCAAGGUGGCUUACAUCUUAAAAAAAUACAUUUAUAACAUAACAAAAGUAGCCAUAAGCAAUAAAUAAAACAAAAAAUAUGCAACCAGACCAACAAUUUCCACACAAAUCACAGGUUCUGAAAUAAAGAUACAAAAAACCAACAGCAGCAACCCCAUAAUAAAACACCCCAACCCCAAAACAACAUCUUCAGUUAUGCCAGUCACAGAAUCAUAGAAUUGUAGGGUUCGGAGGGACCCCAAGGGUCAUCUAGUCCAACCCCCUGCAAUGCAGGAAUCAGAGCUGAUCACAGUCUUCCUACUUUGGUGGAGGAAAGAAGGGCUGCAUCCAAGCAACAUCCAUCAGACUCCUGAACUGGUUUUUCUUCCCCCAUCUCCUCUGUGAGGGAUCUGAUUUGUUGGCUGACUAUUCCUACCACUCCAGCAAAGGCAGGAAAUGAGCUGUGGCUCGGAUGUCAGAGUUGCUGUCAGGGGCAACCAGGAAGCUCCCAGUGACUGAUGGUGUGUGCUGAGACCUCAGAGACCUCGGCUGUUUCGAGACGGGUGUUAUUGUGGACCAGCUGCUCCUCAUGCAGGCUCGUUUUUCCACAGCAAGCCCAACUGUAUUGUCAGCAUACAAGUCCCAGCCUCCGCCCCCAAACCCCACCGUCCAGUAUUCCAAAUGCAGCCACGGAAUUGUAGAAUUGGAAGGUACCACACAAGGAUCAUCUAGUGCAAGCCCCUUCAGUGCAGAAAUCUUUCCCUACGACUUCGGACUAAAACCCACAACCCUGUGAUUAUGCGUCUCCUGCUUACUGACUGGAUUUGUAUAAACAGGUUGCUGUUUUCCUUACCGGAUCAGAACCCUCCUUUCCUUGGCUGGUCUGAGUUUCUCAGUGUCUGCCUUCUCCAAGGAGUAUUUUGUGUGUGCCGUUUAAGUCACAAGAACAUCAGAAGUGCCCAUGGAUCAGGCCCAUGGUCCAUCUGGUCCAGCUUCUUGUCUUCACAGUGGCCACCCAGAUCCCUCCAUGGGAAACCCAGAGCCCUCUCCCCUCCUUUGGUUUCCAGCAACCAAUAUUCAGAUGACCGUGGAGGCCGAGAGCAUAGCCAACAUGGCUAGUAGCCACCCAUAGGCCUCUCCUCUACGAAUUCAUCUAAAUCUCUGCCUGCGCUGGAGGAGAGCCCAUCCCCGCGCUGGCUCUUGAAAUGGGAUGCAGGCCUCUGCGAACAAAGGCCCCUCUUCAUCCCUUUUCGGCCUCCCUCCCUCAGUAUGAAGGUCAGGGGAAAGGCUGACUUAUAAAGGCAUAAACAAACCGUGCAGAAAUGCUUAUGGUAAUUCCACUUCUCUUCAGAAAUAUCAGCUCCCCCCCCCUCUCCUUUUUUUUUUGAAAUCUGCUUUAAAUGGUUUCCCUUCUAAUGAAAACCCGCAUGUAAUCUGUUAGCAAGGGAUGUCUGCCGGCCCAUGAAUUAUUCAGCAGGCCCUCUGUUCCGUUAUCUGGCGUCUCUUGAGAUUCCCCCUCCAUUGUCCGCCAUGAUGGGUCAUUAUGCACUCGGUGGAUUUAAUCUUUUAGGCUAUCCAGCAGCACAGGGGGAGCAGGCGGAGGGGGUGGGGCGGGGGGGGAAUGUAUGAAUAACAAUUUCCCUGUAAUAACCUUCAACUAACCUUUCAACCAGAGUGAGUAAUUCCAAUCCUAUUUUCACAUCAAUGGCAGAGUCAAAGCCAGGCAAUUAUCUCUUAUCUGUUCCACCACUGUCUCUCCCCCCCCCCCCUUUAAUUUUGAAGAAGAAGGAGAGGAGGGGGGGGGAUGAUGUUAAAGUACUUGCUGGAGUCAAGAAGAAGAAAAGGGAGCAGAGCAAAGUGGCGGGGAGAAGGCUUGAUUAACAACUUCGAUAGGCAGGGAUUUUAGGCAAUUAUUUGCCCUCUCUCCUCCCCCUCCCCUGUUGCAGCUUCAUUCCUGGUCAGCUGUGUCCCACCUGUUUCCUGUCCUGCCCUUACAAUUUAUCCCACUUAGUGGACCUUUUGACUUGGCCAGAAGAUGCUAGCAAUGAGGGAUGUGGGAGGAAGACUGCCCUGAUCCUGUUAUAAGGUAGCUCUAUCAUAUUUGCAAAAGGACGCGGGUGGUGCUGUGGGUUAAAGCACAAAGUCUAGGACCUGCCGAUCAGAAGGUCGGGAGUUCGAAUCCCCGCGAUGGGGCGAGCUGCCGUUGCUCAGUCCCAGCUCCUGCCAACCUAGCAGUUCGCAAGCACAUCAAAGUGCAAGUAGAUAAAUAGGUACCGCUCCGGCGGGAAGGUAAAUGGCGUUUCCGUGCGUUGCUCUGGUUCGCCAGAAGCGGUUUGUCAUGCUGGCCACAUGACCCGGAAGCUGUACGCCGGCUCCCUCGGCCAGUAAAGCGAGAUGAAUGCCACAACCCCAGAGUCGUCCAUGACUGGACCUAAUGGUCAGGGGUCCCUUUACCUUUACCAUAUUUGCACUUCUUGCUUAUUUCAUAGAAUUGUAGAGUUGGACAGGGACCUUGAGGGAUAACUAGUCCACCCCCCCACCCUGCAAUACAGGAAUCUCAGCUAAAGCCUCCCAGACAGAUGGCCAUCCAACUUCUGCUUAAAAACCUCCAAGGAAGGUAAUUCCAUCACCUUCUGAGGGAGUCAAACUGCUCUGACCCUCAGAAAGCUCAUCACACACUUCAAAAUGCACGAACAAUUGGUGGGUCAAUUGUGUUUUGGCCCCCUCAAGCCUAGUUGCCUGCUUAAAUGCUUCUAUUAUUUGGAAGCUGAAGAAGCCAUGGUGAAGAGAAGGUCCCAAAAGAUGUCUCCUCUUUGUAGACCCGUGCCUGGAGUUGAUCAAAUCAAGGGUUGAAUUUAGAUUCUAGAUUGCUUCAUAAGAUUGUCGUUGGAGGGCCUUGCCUGUGGAGGUAAAAUCACUGGCUACCAGAGAAGAUCGUUGGCUUCUGUGCCUCAAAUAUAAAAUUCCCUCCCAAUGGAGAUCUUCCUGACAUUUUGCCAUGAACUUUUAGAGCCAAAGUUUGCCUUGUUUAUUUAGCCUUUGAGUGGGUUGAUUUAAUGUGAUUGGGGUUUGUUUGUUUAUCGUUUGUUUAUUUAUUUUAUUUAUAUUUCACCAUUUCCUCCAUGCAGCUGAAGGCGGUACACAUGGUUCUCUGCCCUCCCCACUGAUUCCCACAACAACCCAGUGAGGUAGGUUUGGCUGAGAGGCAGUAACUGGCCCUAGGUCCCACUGCAAGCUUCAAUAAAAAUAAAAUAAAAUCCAUAAAAAUCCAUAACUAACUCAGAUUCUGCCCCCCUCCUAAGGAAAGGCUUGCUGGCCCUAACAAAAGGCUUGCCCCCCCCCCCAAUCCUGGCUAUGCCCAUGCAUGGCUGAGUGGGGAUUCAAACUCUGGUUUCUCAGGUCCUAGUCCAAAACUCUAACUUGAAUGUUGCUACUUGAAGCAACACUUCAAGGCAACUACCUUUGAAAUCAGCAUGUCUCCUAAUUUUGAGGUGCAGUUAUCCAAUUAAAACAGGUGUUCAAAAGUGCAUGCAUGCCUAAAAUGCAUCUAUUGGUGAAAUUUACAUGGAAACGUGCAUUAUAUUAGAGAAAAAUGCUUGGGGAAAGUAUGUAUAUUAGGGGAAAUGCAGACUGAAACACUAACCUUUUAAAAGUUAAGGUGUAUAACAGUUAAGUAAGUUGGAGGAAUAAAUUAUGUUUACCACUAUUACUCAUUUAUGCAUGUUCUAUUUUUAUGCUAUGCCUUAUUAGUACCUUAUGUAUGAGUGCAACACAGUACGCGUUGAUGAUGUGAUAUAAUAGGAAAGCAAAUAAAUAAAUGAAUAAAAAGAAUGAUCAAAUUGGUGUAAAAAUGUGGCAAGCUGAGCUUAAGAUUCUAAUGAUGUGAAACUGAGCGAAACCAGCUGAGAUUCCUGCAUUGAAGAGGGUUGAACUAGAUGACCCUUGGAGUUCCUUCCCAGCUCUAUAGCUCUUAUGAUUCUACUAUUCUAGGGUUAAAUUCAGGAAAUCCAGUCGUGGUCCUCCCGUGUAACAUGUAGCUUUGCCCUUGGAUCAAACAGACGCUUUCCGCUUUGCCAGCUGGCAGUCUGUCACAGACCGGAUAAAUGUGAGCUAUUGUCCAGGCACAUUUUACAAGGCCAUAAAGAAAAAGAAAAACAGAAGUGGAGCUCAGAAAGGAACCCAACACAAGACCCAUUGAAAUCCAUGUGUGUGUGUCUGAGUCUCAUUUGGCAGCGAAGGGAACGUCCGCUUCUUGAAACACUCCCUCCAAGGUAGCCUUCCAGAGAGUCAGAUUUCAGAUAAAGUGACCCCUUCCUUGAAGACUUUUUGCACUUCUCAGACGUUUGGAGGAAGCCGUUCUGGGUUGGUUCACACGCAAUGUUUAAUGGCUUUCUUAACUCCAGAGAGCGGAUGUCUACUUGUGUGGGAGCUGGGCAGUCUGGGAAGAGGAGGCAGGCCUCAGAUCUCAGCCAGAGCAACUCCUGGAACCUCCAACACAUGUAUAUUUUUUCUGCACCAGAGAUUGAGAAACUUGCUGUGCUUUUGGUGCUCUGAGAUCCUAUCUCAUGCAACGCACUCCUUGGGACUUGGCCAACUCUCAGGUGUUGAAAAAGCAGCGGAGAGUAAUGUGAAGAACUCGUGUGUGUGUGUGUGCCAACAUUUUGCACAUACCAUGUACCCUCAAAGGGGAAGUAUUAAAAGUACACCGAGUGAGUGACUCCUGCACAGCCAAGUAGUGCUCUGCAUCUUUUGAAAACCACAGAAACACUGAUUAAAAAAAAAGGGGGGGGAGCAAGAUAUGAAUAGUGUUUGUUGGCAAGGGAGGAGGAAGUCAACUCAAACCACAGAGAGAGAAGUUUUGAUACAGUUCUAGUUUCCAGUUCAGUGCAAUGUAUUCAUUUAAAACCAGAGGUCAUUGCAAGGUUCAAGUUUUUAAAGACCUCCCCCAGAGCAUAACAAAAUACAGCUUUCCCAAGGAAAAUACAGGUUUUCCAUGAAGGAUGGGGCAGGAAUUGGAUCUGUUAGGCCCUUUUGUUCUCCUUUCCAAAAGGAGAUGAGUUUCUUAAUUGUUAAAUUAGUGGAAGGAAACAAAAAGCUUUGGGUUUUUCUUUUUAAUGGAUUCUCUGUUGCCUGUUCUUCUGCAGUGCCUGACACAUCUGAACUCAUAACCAAACCAUAAAUCUGGAUUAAGAUUCAACCUUUGCAUUCAUGUCCAACAAUGCACUGUGACCAGUAACCUCCUCCUUCUCCCCACCAUGGGGAACAAUAUUAUGCAUUUGUAGAUCCGUCUCUGAAUUCCAAGGCAGAGCAAAAGAAGAGUCUGGCCAAGGCAUUGUCCAGACACUCUUCGCUUUCUACUUUUGUUACCAAGUGGAGUUACAUGUCGUAUUUCAAAGGUGGUCUUGACUGUUUCCUUCCAAGUCUCUUACUGGGAAACUGGGAAAGAGCCAAGACAUAGUUGGGCUUGCCCUGCAGCUCUGAGCUCCUCUUCACAGGAAGUGAUGUCAGUGCCCUUCUAGUCUUGUGUCUCUAUGCCCUGGAUGCAGCCCUGUGAUACGGCAGCAAAAAAAGCUAAUGCAAUUCUAAGCUGUAUCAACAAUAGUCUAGCGUCCCAUUCAAGGGAAGUAAUGGUACCACUCUUUUCUGCCUUGGUCAGACCCCACUUGGAGUCCUAUGUCCAGUUAUGGGCACUACAGCUGAAGAAGGGUGUUGACAAGCUGGAACGUGCACCAAGGAGGGACAACCAAGAUAAUCAAGGGUCUGAAAACCAAACCAGUGAGGAACAGUUGAGUGAGUUGGGUACGACUAGCCUGGAAGAGAAGACCGAGAGGUGAAAUGAUAGCUGACUUAAAAUAUCUGAAGGGUUGUCACAUGGAAGAUGGAGCAAGCUUGCUUUCUGCUGCUCCAGAGGGGAAGACCUGAACCAAUGGAUUCAAACGACAAAGGAGAGUCCAACUAAACCUUUGGAAUAACUGUUUGAUGACAAGAGCUGUUUGAUAGUGGAAUGGACUCCAUUGGGAGGUUGUGGACCCUCCUUCAGCAGAGUUUUUUGCCCUCUGCCAUGGAUUCUUUAGCUAGGCCUCCUGCCUUUCAGGGAGUUGGACCUGAUGAGCCUUGGUGUCCCUUUCAGCUCUACAAUUCUAGGAUUCUAUGUUCUUCAUGGGACACGGGUGGCGUUGUGGUUUAAACUUGCCGAUUGGAAGAUUGGCGGUUCAAGACCCCAUGACGGGGUGAGCUCCUGUUGUUCGGUCCCUGCUCCUGCCAACCUAGCAGUUUGAAAGCACGCAGUGCAAGUAGAUAAAUAGGUACCACGCCGGCAGGAAGGUAAAUGGCAUUUCCGUGCGCUGCUCUGGUUCGCCAGAAGCGGCUUAGUCAUGCUGGCCACAUGACCCAGAAAAACUGUCUGCAGAAGCGGACAAACACUGGCUCCCUUGGCCUGUAAAGCGAGAUGAGCACCGCAAACCCAGAAUCGUUCGUGAUUGGACUUUACUGUCAGGGGUCUUUAUGUUCCCUUUAUGUUCUUCAUCAUGAACUAAAUCAUCUGUGAAAUUCUCCCACGGAAAUCCAACAGGUUCAGCUUCAGUUGUUGAACAACACAGAGCAACCUUAGGAGUGCGGUAUGGAUUUCACCUCCUUUUCAAUGGGAGCCCCACAUGGGAGAAUUGCCUGGGAGUUUUCACCCCCUGUUACUUUGCAUCCAAGUGAUUGCCCCAGUCAGUUUUAAGCUAUCUGAGCACAUAGAGUCCCUCCCGGCAGGGAUUUCUGCUCAGAGAACAAAUUGUAUAAAUGCAUUUAACAACUGAACAGGGCAGACGGUGAGGAAUUCUCCACAAAAGCUCUGGGACUCAGAGUCUUGUUUGUAUUAAGGAACAUGCUAUGCAAAUCCGGCAGCUAUCUGGAGCCAUAAAUAGCUGCAGAGAUGAAUUUAAUAUCUCUGUGUGGUGGCGGCGGCAGCCGCGACAAUGAUCAAAUGAAGUCCAGACGAAACCGUUCAGCGCUGUUUACACUGGGAGUUAUUGAGCACACCUCUGAGACACAAAGCGGUUGUGUGUGUCUCUCCUCCUUGCCCCGCCCUUUGUGGAAAAUCAGCCGGGCUGUUGGCAAGAUGGAAUCCAACUUGGACUUUUGUGGAGCGACAAAGAGAGAGAGAGAGAAAGGAGGUGAAUCAGGAGCUUAAUUAGCAAAAGCUGUUUACUGAAUAUCCAAUAAAUUAAAAUGCAUGGAACAUGUAUUUUAAUGAAGGCUCCUUAGGAGAAUCCAGUUUUUCCUGGCUAAUCUCAGUGUCACUUCCAGCCGGCCAACCACUUCCCCAUAAGAGCAACACCCCAAAAGUUGGUCUUGUUUGAAAGGAAAAGAGUCACACUGCAUUACAAGGGGUUGGACUAGAUGACCCUAUGGGUCCCUUACAAAAGAUCCUGUCAUUCUAUGCUUUUUUAGCACCUGCAGCCCCCAAAACACAUUGGCUUGAACUUCCCCAAAUGCAACAGGACAGCCUUCCCCCGCCCUGCCGCCCUACAGGUAUGCUGUCAUUUAUUUAUUUAUUGCAUUUAUAUCCUGCCUUUCCCCCCCUCCAAGUAACUCGAGGUGGUGUACGUGGUUCUCCCUCUCCUCAUUUAAUCUGCACAACAACCCUGUGAGGUAGGCUAGGCUGAGAGACAGUGACUGGCCUAGUGAGUUUUGUGACUGAGUGGGGAUCUGAACUCUGGUCUUCCAAUUCCAGGUCGAGCAACUCUAACCACUACACUACACAGAAGUACUGAUUUUUGUAGCACAUCUGCUCCCAUGCUGGCUGGGGGUGAUGGGAAUUGCAGUCCAGAACAGCCAAAGGAUGCUAGGAGAUGGGGGAGUCUAAACUAAGAGGGGGGAACGCCAGCUGCACAGAGACCAUUUUCUCAUGCAGGGAAGCACAAAGAUUAGAAAGGUGUUUCAAUGACAGCCCUUGCCCUUCCAAGAUCAUAGAGCCUUGCCUAGCUGAGGCAGAGUGGGGCAAGACCAAGGAAUGCAGUGAUGGCACCCUCUGCAGGAGCAUGUGGUCCCAGUGCCUGCAGCACCCCUGUCCUCGCGAGAGUGGUCUGCCACAGAGGGGUCCUGCACUGUGCAACCUCACAAGGCUGUGAUGCUAAUCUGAGGAAUGCAAUCCCUACGAGAAGGGCCCCCAAUGGUCAUCUUGUCAAACCCUCUGCCAGGGCCAAUUCUAGAGCCAAAUUUAUUGAAGGACUUGUGUUCCUAGGUUCUUGCAUGUCCCCUUUAAGAUUUAUUGACCAGUCUGAAACAGGAAGUAGAGGGGACAAUUCAUCUUGUAUCAGCUUAAUCGACUCUGUUUUGCUCUCCCGAAGGAAAAACUGUGUGAUUUUACUUUGUUUUCUCCGAAGUUCAGGAGAGCUACUUGUAAAAUUUUGCGUAAUUCUCAGGGCUUUACAUGCCUUCCUUGUGUACGCCGCACUGGUCAACCACUUGGACAGAGAAUGGAGCAAAGCCUUCAGCUUGCACAGAGUCCCACACCCAAUGGAGAGGGGCUGUUAAUUCUUGCUUUUCUUUUCCUUCUCACCUUAUCAAUAAAACACUGACUCACCCCCCCUUUUUCUCAUCCCAGUGCUUCCUAUUAAAAUCAAGCCUUUUGUGUGAAACAUAAGGACUAGAAACUUGAUUUAAAACUAAGGGAAGUCUUUUGGCCCCAUGGCAGAACGUUGGAGGCAGCAAUGUGUCUGAAUACCAGUUGCUACAAACUGCAAGAGGAGAGAAGGCUUUUGGGCUCAGGACGUGCUUGUGGUUGAUGGGCCACUGGCCUGAUUCAUCAGGAUCUUCUGAUGUUCUUCCCUGUGCAAGAAUCUUAUUACUGACUCCUCCUGGGGUGUUUGUGCAGGAGGCCCAGUCCUGGAGACCAUCGACGCUUUCUAGGAGAGGCCAGCUGCGAGGGUCAUCCAUGAGAAGUCCUGACAAAGCACUUCCUACAGCCCAACACACCUUCAAUGCACCGUAAGUGAUUAAAGGGGGGGGGGGCAAUUCACCGUCAUGCUGCUUGCCCUGAAGUGCAGCGCCCCUCCCACCCUCGCACGGCUGUCCCGGCGCAAAAAUCUGCAAUCGAGCCAGGAUUUGGAAUGAGCUGCCAGUACAUUGCAGCAGAGCAGAUGGCGGGCGCUCAGAAGUGUUUGAAAAGCCUCAUUUGAUUAUACAUGAACGCCGCGUCUCUCGCAGGCCCGAGCUGAUAUUUCCAUUAAGCACGCUCCGCAAAGCAUUACAGCCCCGUAGCUGCCGUCUCCUUCCGCACGGAUGCCUUACUGCACUCGUCGGCCUCUUAUCCUUGCCUGCCUUUUAUCAUGGCUUCCACCACGGCACUUAAUGGCCCGCCGGCCAUUGGGUGGGUGUUUCUAAGGAUCACGACCGAUACUUUUGUUGGGAGAUUCAGGGCAGAUAAAGUAAAGGACCUUCUUCACACAGCGUGUGGUUAAACUGUGGAACUCCCUACCUGUGGGCAGUCCCUCCAUAGGUGGGGUAAGCUGCCUCUUUUUCCACAGCCUCUCCAACAAGUCUGAGAAGAUUAUGAAGAUUGCUAGAUAGGCCAGUGACCUGGUCCAGCAGGCUUGUUUUAUGUCCUUAUGUGAUGUCAUAUGAAAAAGUUGCACUGAUGGCGAUUUGCCCAGCUGCUUUCCCUGCCAACACACCACCACAACAAUUCCUAUCUGGGGUUAUCUAGCCCCUUGGGGUGGAUUCAGAUGAGCCGCAAGGUCUGAACUGGUGAAAAGUGGUUAUGUGAAUCCACUGACAUCCGACGACAGCAUGGUGGGAUCUCAGCCAGCUCCAUUCUUCGGAGGACCACAAUGCUUCACUCCAGAACCCUGCAUCAAGGAUGGAGCCAGAGCGAACGGCUGGGUCACAGAGGAUGACAUCUAUAUUGUCAUUUCCAUGGACUCAGGCCACUUAUGAGCGUUAUAACUUGAUAUGUGUUCUGCGAGCCCGGUAGACUUGUUAAAAGAGAAAACCUGCAGACUUUGCUGAGAACAAUUCAAGAUGACUGCAUUUGCCAGAACGAGACCCAGACUGAAUAAGUGGGAAUGCAAUAAUGUCUAAGGCUGGAGCUAUCCUCUGGGUCACCGUUAAAAGGUUCUGGCAGACUUGCAAGGAGGCCGAGGGCACGGGGCACAAAACUCUGUAUUACAACUCAGG
Molecule: non-coding RNA, 10346 nt
Organism: Podarcis lilfordi (Lilford's wall lizard)
Lineage: Eukaryota; Metazoa; Chordata; Lepidosauria; Squamata; Lacertidae
Source: the annotation of a GenBank genome assembly